RNAcentral lists this ribosomal RNA (696 nucleotides) under Klebsiella pneumoniae. RNAcentral describes it as "bacterial SSU rRNA". It matches the Rfam family "Bacterial small subunit ribosomal RNA", at positions 1 to 688 of the family's 1533-position model. The record is from RNAcentral. Lineage: Bacteria; Pseudomonadati; Pseudomonadota; Gammaproteobacteria; Enterobacterales; Enterobacteriaceae.
AAAUUGAAGAGUUUGAUCAUGGCUCAGAUUGAACGCUGGCGGCAGGCCUAACACAUGCAAGUCGAGCGGUAGCACAGAGAGCUUGCUCUCGGGUGACGAGCGGCGGACGGGUGAGUAAUGUCUGGGAAACUGCCUGAUGGAGGGGGAUAACUACUGGAAACGGUAGCUAAUACCGCAUAAUGUCGCAAGACCAAAGUGGGGGACCUUCGGGCCUCAUGCCAUCAGAUGUGCCCAGAUGGGAUUAGCUAGUAGGUGGGGUAAUGGCUCACCUAGGCGACGAUCCCUAGCUGGUCUGAGAGGAUGACCAGCCACACUGGAACUGAGACACGGUCCAGACUCCUACGGGAGGCAGCAGUGGGGAAUAUUGCACAAUGGGCGCAAGCCUGAUGCAGCCAUGCCGCGUGUGUGAAGAAGGCCUUCGGGUUGUAAAGCACUUUCAGCGGGGAGGAAGGCGGUGAGGUUAAUAACCUCANCGAUUGACGUUACCCGCAGAAGAAGCACCGGCUAACUCCGUGCCAGCAGCCGCGGUAAUACGGAGGGUGCAAGCGUUAAUCGGAAUUACUGGGCGUAAAGCGCACGCAGGCGGUCUGUCAAGUCGGAUGUGAAAUCCCCGGGCUNAACCUGGGAACUGCAUUCGAAACUGGCAGGCUAGAGUCUUGUAGAGGGGGGUAGAAUUCCAGGUGUAGCGGUGAAAUG